Molecule: long non-coding RNA, 485 nt
Organism: Rhinopithecus roxellana (golden snub-nosed monkey)
Lineage: Eukaryota; Metazoa; Chordata; Mammalia; Primates; Cercopithecidae
Exons: 2
Source: RefSeq, a predicted model, not a curated record
AGUCUUUGUAAAAGUGACAUGAAGAGAUUUUCAUGUUGGAAAAAUGACUAGCUGCAUCAUAGAAUUAGUGUGUAAGGGUGGCUCGAGGAAGAGAGUUUCUUCACAGCUAUUGCAAUAAAUAGGGUCUACUGGAGACCUUGGCUUUUUACUUCCCUGACGUAACUUCACACUGCUGGAGCAAUGCUCACAUUGCUCAGCAAACACUGGCAAAUCUCAAGAUGCAGUUCAGGCUACUCCAUGAUGAGUGUGAGUCCCCAGGCUGUCUCUCAAACUAAAGAUUCCCCAGCCAGGCAACUCUAAAGAGUCUUCAACAAGGCAACACGAUUACUCUGUGUGCUUAGAAGAAGAGGGAUUAUAAAUGUCAGCUGUUGCUCUUUGAAUCCUGCUAAUUCAUUCAUUGACUCACUCAUCUUUCCCACAGGCACGUGCUGUGAGUUUGCUGCAUGACACUGGAGGUUAUAAAGAAAUAAAAUACUUGGGGCUUA